GCCGGUGUAGCUCAGUCGGUAGAGCAACUGAUUCGUAAUCAGUAGGUCGGAGGUUCGAUUCCUCUCCCCGGCACCA
RNAcentral lists this transfer RNA (76 nucleotides) under Gammaproteobacteria bacterium. RNAcentral describes it as "tRNA-Thr". It matches the Rfam family "tRNA". From Rfam's summary of the family: Transfer RNA (tRNA) molecules are approximately 80 nucleotides in length. Their secondary structure includes four short double-helical elements and three loops (D, anti-codon, and T loops). Lineage: Bacteria; Pseudomonadati; Pseudomonadota; Gammaproteobacteria. The record is from RNAcentral.